GCAGCAGGCGCGAAACUUACCCACUCGGGACUUUCGGAGGAGGUAAUGACCAGUUUCAUGUGAAGCUUAUGCUUCUGUGAAUAGGAUCACACUUUUCCAGUGUGGUGAAACCUAGCAGAGGGCCAGUCUGGUGCCAGCAGCUGCGGUAAUUCCAGCUCUGCGAGUUUGCUCCCAUAUUGUUGCAGUUAAAACGCCCGUAGUCGGAAUUGGACAGCAAUGUCCCUACGUUUCAACGCUCACUGUGAACAAAUCAGGGCGCUUAGAGUAUGGUAACAAGAAUGACUCAGCGCAGUAUGAAGUCUUUGUUUCUUUCGGGAAACAAGCUCAAUGAGAGCCAUCGGGGGUGGAUCUAUUUCAUGGCGAGUGGUGGAAUACUUUGACCCAUGAGAGAGACACGGAGGCGAAGGCGUCCACCUAGAGGGUUUCUGUCGAUCAAGGGCGAGAGUAGGAGUAUCCAACCGGAUUAGAGACCCGGGUAGUUCCUACUGUAAACGAUGCCGACAGAGGUUUGUCAUUUUAUAAUGGCAGAACUUUUAGAGAAAUCAUAGUUCUUGGGCUCUGGGGGAACUACGACCGCAAGGCUGAAACUUGAAGGAAUUGACGGAAGGGCACACCAGGGGUGGAGCCUGUGGCUUAAUUUGAAUCAACACGGGGAAACUUACCAGGACCAGAUGUUUUUUAUGACUGACAGGCUUCGGGUCUUUCAGGAUAUUGCUUUUGGUGGUGCAUGGCCGUUGGUGGUGCGUGGGUUGACCUGUCUAGCGUUGAUUCAGCUAACGAGCGAGAUUAUCGCCAAUUAUAUACCUCGCAUUGGCUUCAGUGUUGAGGUUCUAAUUGGGACUCCCUGCGAUUUUAGCAGGCGGAAGAGGGUAGCAAUAACAGGUCCGUGAUGUCC
This 895-nucleotide ribosomal RNA is filed under the name Pentatrichomonas hominis. RNAcentral's name for it is "SSU rRNA". It matches the Rfam family "Eukaryotic small subunit ribosomal RNA", at positions 425 to 1472 of the family's 1831-position model. Lineage: Eukaryota; Parabasalia; Trichomonadida; Trichomonadidae. The record is from RNAcentral.